GAGGGUAUAGCUCAGUGGUGGAGUGUGUGCUUAGCAUGCAUGAAGUCCUGGGUUCAAUCCCAGUACUUCCA
This 71-nucleotide transfer RNA is filed under the name Camelus bactrianus (Bactrian camel). It matches the Rfam family "tRNA". Rfam says of the family: Transfer RNA (tRNA) molecules are approximately 80 nucleotides in length. Lineage: Eukaryota; Metazoa; Chordata; Mammalia; Artiodactyla; Camelidae. The record is from Rfam by way of RNAcentral. RNAcentral also lists the same sequence under 2 other names.